GGCCAGCAUCAGUUUUCUGGGGUGGAAAAUCACGGUUUGAAGGUAGCAGUUUCGGCUGUGUUAUAGCUUUCCGUAGGAUACACCANAGGGGACUNAGGAACGCAGUGUNCUUUUANCGGGGGNUUCGACCUNUUCACACUUAGGAUGCUGGUGGAAU
Molecule: ribosomal RNA, 157 nt
Filed under: Rhodosporidiobolus lusitaniae
Lineage: Eukaryota; Fungi; Basidiomycota; Microbotryomycetes; Sporidiobolales; Sporidiobolaceae
Description: partial 26S rRNA
Source: RNAcentral